AAAUAGAGAGUAUAGUAUUUACAUUUAGUUUCGACCUAAAAAUUAAGAAUUUUCUUCCUAUUUU
This 64-nucleotide transfer RNA is filed under the name Agonoscena pistaciae. Its description in RNAcentral is "tRNA-Arg". The record is from RNAcentral. Lineage: Eukaryota; Metazoa; Arthropoda; Insecta; Hemiptera; Aphalaridae.